CGGGCUUGAAUUGCCAGCGCACGAUACAGAGAUGUUGAGGUCCUUCGGGACGCUGGUGAAGGUGCUGCAUGGUU
Molecule: ribosomal RNA, 74 nt
Filed under: uncultured bacterium
Lineage: Bacteria
Also listed under: 1 other name
Description: partial 16S ribosomal RNA
Source: RNAcentral